UGGGGAAUCUUGCGCAAUGGGCGAAAGCCUGACGCAGCGACGCCGCGUGGGUGAUGAAGGCCUUCGGGUUGUAAAGCCCUGUGGGGAGGGACGAACAAGUGCCGACCUAAUACGUCGGUGCCUUGACGGUACCUCCUUAGCAAGCACCGGCUAACUCUGUGCCAGCAGCCGCGGUAAGACAGAGGGUGCAAACGUUGCUCGGAAUUACUGGGCGUAAAGCGCGUGUAGGUGGCUUGUUAAGUCGGGUGUGAAAGCCCUCGGCUCAACCGAGGAAGUGCAUUCGAUACUGGCAAGCUCGAGUACCGGAGAGGGUCGUGGAAUUCCUGGUGUAGAGGUGAAAUUCGUAGAUAUCAGGAGGAACACCGGCGGCGAAGGCGGCGACCUGGACGAGUACUGACACUCAGACGCGAAAGCGUGGGGAGCAAACAG
This 429-nucleotide ribosomal RNA is filed under the name uncultured bacterium. Its description in RNAcentral is "bacterial SSU rRNA". It matches the Rfam family "Bacterial small subunit ribosomal RNA", at positions 355 to 775 of the family's 1533-position model. The record is from RNAcentral.